Molecule: ribosomal RNA, 442 nt
Filed under: uncultured organism
Description: bacterial SSU rRNA
Rfam family: Bacterial small subunit ribosomal RNA
Source: RNAcentral
AAUGAACGCUGACGGUGCCCCUUACACAUGCAAGUCGAACGAUUAAUUUCGGUUAAUAGUGGCGAACGGGUGAGUAAUAUAUAGGAAUAUGCCUUUUAGUGUGGGAUAAUCACGAGAAAUUGUGUUGUAAUACCUCAUACUCCGCUUUCGAGCGGGAAAGAAAUUUAUUUUGCUAAAAGAUUAGCCUAUACAGGAUUUGGUAGUUGGUGAGGUAAAGGCUCACCAAGCCUUAGUCUUUAGCUGGUCUGAGAGGAUGAUCAGCCACACUGGGACUGAGACACGGCCCAGACUCCUACGGGAGGCAGCAGUGAGGAAUAUUGGACAAUGGGGGAAACCCUGAUCCAGGGACACCGUGUGAGUGAUGAAGGUUUUGUACUGUAAAACUCUUUCAGUGGGGAAAAUAAUGAUGGUACCCACAAAAGAAGCACCGGCUAACUCUGUG